CCCACAGCCAUGCUCUGUGCAGGUUCCGGGCCUUUCCCCAGUCCGAGUGGUGAGCUCUGGAAAUGCCCCAUGAAGAGUCUGCGUUGGGCACAGAACACCACUUGGCUAUCGGCAUCACCAUUUUUUUCUCUGGUUAACUCCCUGGAGAGCCGCCCACAGCCAGUGAAGCUGCGCUCAUUCCCUCUCCGGGCCAACUUGAUUGGACGGUCAAAACAAAACAGAGCCCAAAACCAGUAAGCAGUUAAGCCUGGAGAGAUGAUGCAAGAUUCCAGAGGGGCCACAAGCUGGAUACCAGCCCCCAAACCGGCAGUGUCUGUGUCACCAAGGACGGGACACAGUGGAUUACCGCAGGGCAUGCUCAACUUCUGAGCCCACUCGCUGCGGAGCCUGCCAUCGGCGAUAAUUUCAGCACAGUGAGUCAACCUCCAGGGACCGUGCCGGCCAGGUCCCCCUCUGUCGGCACCUGGGCACGUGUGCGAGCUCAGCCGCCCCUCCCUGGGCUGCCUGCCUGGGAACAGCUGCUGUGUCCUGACCCAGCCGGCAGCUGUGACCUUGUGGGUCCCAGAGAGCCCUGCGAUCUCAGUGGCCUGGCCACUCAGGCUUAGGGCCACUGUCAGUCAUGGAGGGUCUCACCCAGGACCCUCACCCGGAGAGGGAAAUCUCUUUGUCCAGGAAGCAGCUGCUGGAAACGUCUGAGCCCCAGAGAGACUGAGCUGUGACCUGGACCCCUACUUUGUGAGGGCACCUAGUUUGUUUCAUAGGAGUGUGUGCUCCUGGGGGCUGAACACGGAGCCCCCGGGGUGGCCUGGGGCCCUCACUGAGCAUCCUCAUACUGGGCCUCGUCGGGGGCUCACUUCCUCCCUUGUGCCCACCUGCCUGACCCGACCACACUGAAAGGCGGUCUGCUGCUGUGACCACAGGGGUGACCAGGGGUGGAAUGGCUGGGCCAAGGGCGGCCAGGCUGCCCCAAACCUGGACAUCCGCCUGCCAGGCAAUGGUUGCCUGAUAUCUUCAGAUGCGAAUGUGUGGUUUGGCUCCGGAGGCUGGAGAGUGGGGUGGGCGCCUGGCUCCUGCUGACCUCUGGGGUUGGUGGGCAAAUUAGUAAGAGGAUUCACACAGACAGCUGUCCCAGGACCCAGGGACCUGGAGGAAGAAGGCGCCUCUGAGCAGCAGGUGAGGAUGGCCGGGGCCCUGUGUGUGGCAGUGCCACACGUGUCGGCCACGUUCCUGCCUCUUCACCUGGCUGUGGCUACUGACUGGCUGCCCCAGGGCCAGAGGCUUAAAAGCAGACGACUCCUGGGCACCACAGGAUGGCUGUGGGGCCGUUUCCAGGAGCUGUGGCUGUCCAGUGGACAGGUCAUAUUCUGGCCGGGGUCCAUAGCCCAGAUAACCAGCCACGUCUCCCCAGAGGUGCAGAAUGUCCCGCCCUACAGUCCAUCCCGCAACAGCCUGGGACCUCAGUGACUGAGCCAGCCCCUGCUGAUACACCCUCACCGUCUGACCCGGCCUCUCCUCGGCCCUGCACCUGUGUGCAGAAGACCCAGAAGAUUCCGGGGCCCCAUGGCACACGCAGGCUGGGGAUGAGGCCACAGAGACCCCAGGAGGGAGUUGAGGGCUGGGAGGAGGCCUUACUCUGAGGUCCCUGCCUCCCACAGCUGGGUUCUGUGCUGAGGUCCCGGCCCUGAGAGGCGAGGCGGGUGCAGCGCCCGGCUCUGUGAGGAGGAGGGCACCAGGACCCCAUACCUGUGCCAACAGGGGCAGGUGUCCUGGAUUAUGGGGGAGAGGGGGCUGGCCAGCACAGCAACCAGACCUCUGGCACUGGCAAGGUCAGCACCAAGCCCGGCCCGCCGCGGCCGCCAGAAAUCCUCCUUUCCAACUCCGCUCGCGGGGUGGCAGCUGCCAGUGCUAUUUGGGGACUAAGCUGUGCCCACUUUCUGGCCCUUUGAGUCCUUGUCUGGUGCGAAUUACGCGCUAAUCUGCAUGCUUAGCUGUCCCUGAGAGCUCUACUCCUGGGCCCGCUCGGUCGCCCAGGAGACCCCUCACACCCACAAGGCCUGGCCCCCCCCCCCCCCCCCGCCAGGGAAGAAAGGGUGUUGGCUCUGGAUCCACAGGUCAUGCACAUGUGGGGGAAAGAGUGUGACGAGCACACAGCUUUACCCCAACUGAGUGGGGGCGGCUGUCAGAAAAUCACACUAAGCGGGACAUGCCCUCUGUGACAGCUUCCCUCAGUCCCCUCAGGAGUGUGGGAUGGAGAGAUGGAG
This is a long non-coding RNA of Equus caballus (horse), 2261 nucleotides long. The record is from Ensembl. Lineage: Eukaryota; Metazoa; Chordata; Mammalia; Perissodactyla; Equidae.